This 465-nucleotide ribosomal RNA is filed under the name uncultured bacterium. Its description in RNAcentral is "partial 16S ribosomal RNA". It matches the Rfam family "Bacterial small subunit ribosomal RNA", at positions 28 to 507 of the family's 1533-position model. The record is from RNAcentral.
GACGAACGCUGGCGGCGUGCUUAACACAUGCAAGUCGUACGGUAAGGCCCUUUCGGGGGUACACGAGUGGCGCACGGGUGAGUAACACGUGAGUAACCUGCCCACAACUUUGGGAUAACGCUAGGAAACUGGUGCUAAUACUGGAUAUGUGCUCCUGCUGCAUGGUGGGGGUUGGAAAGCUCCGGCGGUUGUGGAUGGACUCGCGGCCUAUCAGCUUGUUGGUGGGGUAGUGGCCUACCAAGGCGGCGACGGGUAGCCGGCCUGAGAGGGUGACCGGCCACAUUGGGACUGAGAUACGGCCCAGACUCCGACGGGAGGCAGCAGUGGGGAAUAUUGCACAAUGGGCGCAAGCCUGAUGCAGCAACGCCGCGUGCGGGAUGACGGCCUUCGGGUUGGAAACCGCUUUCAGCAGGGACGAAGCUUUUUGUGACGGUACCUGCAGAAGAAGCACCGGCUAACUACGUG